CAAGUAAAAUUUAUUUUGAGAGUGUUUUUACUGAUGAGAGAGCGAAUGAUAAACCUUAAAUCUUUCUCAAUUUAUAAACAAUUGGGAGAUUCCAAAAAAAAUCAAAUUUAUCAUUCGCGCUCUCAUCAUUAUGAACGCCUUCAAAUCCUGAUUUCAAAUAA
RNAcentral lists this microRNA precursor (161 nucleotides) under Citrus sinensis (sweet orange). RNAcentral's name for it is "miR12107 stem-loop (csi-MIR12107)". Lineage: Eukaryota; Viridiplantae; Streptophyta; Magnoliopsida; Sapindales; Rutaceae. The record is from miRBase by way of RNAcentral.